Molecule: non-coding RNA, 21 nt
Filed under: Arabidopsis thaliana (thale cress)
Lineage: Eukaryota; Viridiplantae; Streptophyta; Magnoliopsida; Brassicales; Brassicaceae
Source: RNAcentral
UUACACUCCAGCGAUGGAUCC